Molecule: long non-coding RNA, 2013 nt
Organism: Oncorhynchus nerka (sockeye salmon)
Lineage: Eukaryota; Metazoa; Chordata; Actinopteri; Salmoniformes; Salmonidae
Exons: 3
Source: RefSeq, a predicted model, not a curated record
CAUAGAUGUCUCAAGUUGAGGGAGCAUGCAAUUGGCAUUCUGACUGCAGGAAUGUCUACCAGAGCUGUUGCCAGAGCAUUGAAUGUUAAUUUUUCUACCAUAAGCAGUGUCCAACAUCGUUUUAGAGAAUCUGCCAGUACAUCCAGCUGGCCUCACAACCACAGAGCACAGGUAACCACACCAGCCCAGGGCCUCCACCUCCACAGAGCACAGGUAACCACACCAGCCCAGGACCUCCACCUCCACAGAUCACAGGUAACCACACCAGCCCAGGACCUCCACCUCCACAGAGCACAGGUAACCACACCAGCCCAGGACCUCCACCUCCACAGAUCACAGGUAACCACACCAGCCCAGGACCUCCACCUCCACAGACCACAGGUAACCACACCAGCCCAGGACCUCCACCUCCACAGACCACAGGUAACCACACCAGCCCAGGACCUCCACCUCCACAGACCACAGGUAACCACACCAGCCCAGGACCUCCACCUCCACAGAUCACAGGUAACCACACCAGCCCAGGACCUCCACCUCCACAGACCACAGGUUACCACACCAGCCCAGGACCUCCACAUCCGGCUUCUUCACCUGCGGGAUCAUCUGAGACCAGCUACUCGGACAGCUGAUGAAACUGGAGUAUUUCAGUCUGUAAUAAAGCCCUUUUGUGGGGAAAAACUCAUUCUGAUUGGUUGUGGGUGGGCCUAUGCCCUCUCAGGCCCACCCAUGGCUGCACCCCUGCCCAAUCACAUGAAAUCCAUAGAUUAGGGCCUAAUUUAUUCAUUUCAAUUGACUGGUCUCCUUUUAUGAACUGUAACUCAGCGAAAUCCUUUCCACAAAGGAUUCUACAUGGAACCCAAAAAGAUUCUACGUGGAACAGGAAAAGGGUUCUUCUAUUGGGACAGCUGAAGAAUCCUUUUGGAACCGUAUUUUUCUAAGAGUUUAUGUAAUGUGGUUUGAGGCCACACCCAAACAAAGUGUCACUAGUCUAUGGAUAUGGGUUGGUUUUACCCUACACAUACAAAUCCUGUGAUAAUCUCUUCAAACGUUUUUACCAAAGUAGCCCCCCCCUCCUCUCUCUUUCACACAUGUGUCUAAAGAUUCCAAAUACCAUCGAAGAUCAUAUGAAUUUCCAAUUCCACAUCAAUUUAAGUUUUAGUGAUGCAGCUGAACAAUGAGAUCAGCACCUUGGGGGUUAAACUUUUUUUCAGUAUCCAAUGCAUUCUGGGAUGUAGAAUGAAGCACAAUGGCGGCGAAACUGAAUCACUUGCAACUUUUUUGUGGUCUGUUAUUUCUUUACAGCAAUAUUGCUACAAAUUAGUCUAACGUUUGCUACAGAGUUAACGUGUGAAGACAAUGGCUACAUUUUAUUUUGUCCUUGCAUGGGUCGAUUUGGAAACCAAGCCGACUACCUUCUGGGGUCUUUGACGUUCGCAAGAAAUGCUGAGUUGCACAAUGGCAGUGUGCCGCCACCACGCUCCUCCAGAAUCAAAUGUACCUUUUCAAAAUCACGUUUCCUGGUGUUGAUCUCACCAGUCCGGUCCUUUUAAACCCAUGAAGUGAUGUGAACAAGUGCACACUUUGGGAGAAAUGAGACACCGGAAGGAUUCAAUCUCACGCUCACAGCUGUGUCCCCCUUAUAACAGGUACAUGUCCCCUACAGUGAGUUCUUCCAGCUAGAGGCCCUGACCCACUACCACUGCGUGGUAAGCCUAGAGGACUUGAUGAAGCAGCUGGCCCCAACACUCUGGCCUAAGGGCAGCCUACUUAGUCAGCUGCCCAGAGGAGUGUAAGACCAGAAGUCCUGCCCCAUGAAGGUUCCCUCCGUCAGAGCGCCCUGUCCUGGUGCCCUGUCCUGGUGCACGGUCCUGGUGCCCUGUCCUGGUGCCCGGUCCUGGUGCCCUGUCCUGGUGCACGGUCCUGGUGCCCUGUCCUGGUGCACGGUCCUGGUGCCCUGUCCUGGUGCACGGUCCUGGUGCCCUGUCCUGGUGCCCUGUCCUGGUGCACGGUCCU